GUCGUUUCCAAUCCAGAUACAUACAAGGUCUUCAAUAGAGUGUGUGAUGGACCUGCCACAAGCAGGUCAGGCAUGCACAGGUGUCAUUUGCAUCGGGAGAGCCGUGCACUUGCUAGAACGCCAGCGCCAACUUCCCCCUUUACAAGAAUCCAAUAAUGAUCCUUCCGCAGGUUCACCUACGGAAA
This 185-nucleotide unclassified non-coding RNA is filed under the name uncultured fungus. Its description in RNAcentral is "sequence contains ITS1, 5.8S rRNA gene". Lineage: Eukaryota; Fungi. The record is from RNAcentral.